RNAcentral lists this ribosomal RNA (468 nucleotides) under uncultured bacterium. RNAcentral describes it as "partial 16S ribosomal RNA". It matches the Rfam family "Bacterial small subunit ribosomal RNA", at positions 28 to 507 of the family's 1533-position model. The record is from RNAcentral.
GGCGAACGCUGGCGGCGUGCUUAACACAUGCAAGUCGAACGGAAAGGCCCUGCUUUUGUGGGGUGCUCGGGUGGCGAACGGGUGAGUAACACGUGAGUAACCUGCCCUUGACUUUGGGAUAACUUCAGGAAACUGGGGCUAAUACCGGAUAGGAGCUCCUGCUGCAUGGUGGGGGUUGGAAAGUUUCGGCGGUUGGGGAUGGACUCGCGGCUUAUCAGCUUGUUGGUGGGGUAGUGGCUUACCAAGGCUUUGACGGGUAGCCGGCCUGAGAGGGUGACCGGCCACAUUGGGACUGAGAUACGGCCCAGACUCCUACGGGAGGCAGCAGUGGGGAAUAUUGCACAAUGGGCGGAAGCCUGAUGCAGCAACGCCGCGUGCGGGAUGACGGCCUUCGGGUUGUAAACCGCUUUCGCCUGUGACGAAGCGUGAGUGACGGUAAUGGGUAAAGAAGCACCGGCUAACUACGUG